UAAACGACUCUCGGCAACGGAUAUCUCGGCUCUUGCAUCGAUGAAGAACGUAGCGANAUGCGAUACUUGGUGUGAAUUGCAGAAUCCCGUGAACCAUCGAGUCUUUGAACGCAAGUUGCGCCUGAGGCCAUCAGGUUGAAGGCACGUCUGCCUGGGCGUCACGC
RNAcentral lists this ribosomal RNA (164 nucleotides) under Comarostaphylis discolor. RNAcentral describes it as "5.8S ribosomal RNA". It matches the Rfam family "5.8S ribosomal RNA". Rfam says of the family: 5.8S ribosomal RNA (5.8S rRNA) is a component of the large subunit of the eukaryotic ribosome. It is transcribed by RNA polymerase I as part of the 45S precursor that also contains 18S and 28S rRNA. Functionally, it is thought that 5.8S rRNA may be involved in ribosome translocation. The record is from RNAcentral. Lineage: Eukaryota; Viridiplantae; Streptophyta; Magnoliopsida; Ericales; Ericaceae.